This 439-nucleotide ribosomal RNA is filed under the name Streptococcus peroris. Its description in RNAcentral is "bacterial SSU rRNA". It matches the Rfam family "Bacterial small subunit ribosomal RNA", at positions 38 to 465 of the family's 1533-position model. The record is from RNAcentral. Lineage: Bacteria; Bacillati; Bacillota; Bacilli; Lactobacillales; Streptococcaceae.
GGCGGCGUGCCUAAUACAUGCAAGUAGAACGCUGAAGGAGGAGCUUGCUUCUCUGGAUGAGUUGCGAACGGGUGAGUAACGCGUAGGUAACCUGCCUGGUAGCGGGGGAUAACUAUUGGAAACGAUAGCUAAUACCGCAUAAGAGCAGUUGUUGCAUGACAGCUGUUUAAAAGGUGCAAUCGCACCACUACCAGAUGGACCUGCGUUGUAUUAGCUAGUUGGUGAGGUAACGGCUCACCAAGGCGACGAUACAUAGCCGACCUGAGAGGGUGAUCGGCCACACUGGGACUGAGACACGGCCAGACUCCUACGGGAGGCAGCAGUAGGGAAUCUUCGGCAAUGGGGGCAACCCUGACCGGGCAACGCCGCGUGAGUGAAGAAGGUUUUCGGAUCGUAAAGCUCUGUUGUAAGAGAAGAAACGAGUGUGAGAAGUGGAAAA